Molecule: long non-coding RNA, 204 nt
Filed under: Brassica napus (rape)
Lineage: Eukaryota; Viridiplantae; Streptophyta; Magnoliopsida; Brassicales; Brassicaceae
Description: long non-coding RNA (BNAP_LNC007803)
Source: RNAcentral
UGGGUUCGGUUUGGUUUGAGUAAUUUAGGUUUUAUAAAACUCAAACCAAUUAAAACCAAAGUAGCUUUGGUUUGGGUUCGGUUCAGUUUGGUUUGGUUUAGAUUUAGUUCGGUUUACAUUAUUAUGGUCUAGUUUGGUUCGGUGUAGUUUGGGUUGGUUAUAAAAUAUGAAGGCAUCAGUUUUAUACUUUUAUUAUAAAAUAAU